UGGGGAAUAUUGGACAAUGGGGGAAACCCUGAUCCAGCGAUGCCGCGUGAAUGAUGAAGGCCUUAGGGUCGUAAAGUUCUUUCAUUUGUGAUGAUAAUGACAGUAACAAAAGAAGAAGCUCCGGCUAACUUCGUGCCAGCAGCCGCGGUAAUACGAGGGGAGCAAGCGUUGUUCGGAAUUAUUGGGCGUAAAGGGUGCGUAGGCGGCUCUGUAAGUAUUAUGUAAAAUCCCCGGGCUUAACCUUGGGUCGGCAUAAUAAACUGCAGUGCUAGAAGGUGAUAGAGGAAAACGGAAUUUCUAGUGUAGAGGUGAAAUUCGUAGAUAUUAGAAGGAACGUCAGAGGCGAAGGCGGUUUUCUGGGUCACUAUUGACGCUGAGGCACGAAAGCGUGGGGAGCAAACAGG
Molecule: ribosomal RNA, 404 nt
Filed under: uncultured bacterium
Lineage: Bacteria
Description: bacterial SSU rRNA
Rfam family: Bacterial small subunit ribosomal RNA
Source: RNAcentral